Long non-coding RNA from Homo sapiens (human), 24154 nucleotides. RefSeq lists it as uncharacterized. The transcript has 2 exons. NCBI's taxonomy places the organism in Eukaryota, Metazoa, Chordata, Mammalia, Primates, Hominidae. The record is from RefSeq and is a predicted model, not a curated record.
CUCCUGACCUCGUGAUCCGCCUGCCUCGGCCUCCCAAAGUGCUGGGAUCACGGCAUGAGCCACCGCACCCGGCUGUGUCCACCUAUCUUAUUUUCUUGGUGUUUCUACAGCAUCCACAUAACACUCCCCGGUCAUGGUUUAUUUACUUCAUAUUUUUCUUUGCAUCCACUCACUUUUUACUUAGCUCAACCUAAGCUAUAAUGUCCAUAAAAUCAUGGUCUUCAUGAAGCCUAUCGUCUUCUCAUACAUCAGCAUAAAUACAUAAGUAUUGGAAUUUGUAAUGAAAGGUUUGUUCAUGAACCGAAUGGAAUAACUUGUGGGUGCCAUUUGUAGCCUACUUGGCCUUAUCUUGUUCAGUUCUCUCAGGUUUGCUAGAAGGUGUCCUUGCUUUCAUUUGACAGGUGAGGAAGUAGAGAAGUUUAGACAGUCACUUAACAUCACACAGCUAAGAAGUGGCAGAGUCUGGAUUGGGACACAGAUCUUUUUGGGUUUUAAAGCCCAAGUUAUUUGCAUCAGCUUUUCAGAAGAAGUAAAGGGUGGAUGAUGACCGAGUGUCUCCUGGGUUGGAUGGACAGAUUGAGAGCUUGUAAGAACAGGCAUAAAUGGUUAGAUGAGGCCAAUAGGACUUCCUGCCCCUUCUUGGGAGGCAGAGAUGACUUUGGCCACGGUCCUAUAGGUUCCCAUGGAUUUUGCUAUAGGACUUGCUUAUACUAUGAGAAUUGCUCCUGGGUCACCACUGCUGUGGCAUGAUGAGCCUGUAGUCAUCUCAUGAAAUAACAGUAAUCCUUUGGGAGGCCGAGGCAGGGAGAUCACCAGGUCAAGGGAUCGAGACCAUCCUGGCCAACAUGGUAAAACCCCGUCUCUACUAAAAAUACAAAAAUUAGCUGGGCAUGGUGGCAUGCACCUGUAGUCCCAGCCACUCAGGAGACUGAAGCAGGAGAAUCGCUUGAACCUGGGAGGCAGAGGUUGCAGUGAGCUAAGACUGAGAUUGCACCAAUGCACUCCAGCCUGGUGACAGAGUGAGACUCUGUCUCAAAAAAAAAAGAGAAAAAAGAAAGAAAUAACAGUAAUCAAUAUUGACUCCUGCACAAAAGCCCAGGGGAGUGAGGUUGUAGGGAGGACAGCACGUGGGAUUGUCCCCACAGAGCCACUGCACAGUCCCAAGGAUGACAGGGGGCCCCUCCUUUGUAUCGCAGGCUGAUUGGUAUUCAGCCCUCAAGGAAGUGCCCUUGAGGAAAAAACAAUCGCCUUAAUGGGUUCUGAAUGAGCCUUACUGCCAGCCAUUGUUGGAAGGCCACAGGGAGGAGACUCAGCUGCCCCUGAGGAGUGGCAGUGAUGGCCCAGUGCAGAGCUGAUCCUGUGUUUUGGGGCAAUUUCACAUGAGAUGAAACAUCAGGCGCUGCUGGGGAGGCCUGCCGAGAAGGGCGGCCCCACUGGGCAGUGAAAGCACCUACUCCAGUUUAAGGGUGGAAUCUUGGGGCAGAGGAAGAAGGGACCAGAUAAAGUUGGCAAGCCCAGCGAGGUGUCCAGGAUAUUAGCAGGGAAGAAAAACCUCCUCUGGCAACGAUAAUCACAUUGUUCCGUCAAAUUCUUAAGUCAUCGUUAUUGAAGGUCCCACAUUUGGAUGACUGUGCUUCGACGUACUGCUAGUCUGUACGGGGACUUUGCAGGGCUAAAAAAGUCAGCCUCUUAGCAGAAGACCAGAGCUCACCGAUGCAGGGCGUGGUGAGCAAAGCACUGGUUGGAUUUCAGCCCCUAUUUGCCACUUUGCGGUACACAAAUCAUACAACUAUUUGCAGUGACCCCAAGGAAGAUCUAACUUGUGUUUCAAUAAAAAAUAUCUGUGAGGCCAGGCAUGGUGACUCACACCUGUAAUCCCAGUACUUUGGGAGGCUGAGGUGGGCGGAUCACCUGAAGUCAGGAGGUCAGGAGUUCUAGACCAGCCUUGCCAACAUGGUGAAACCCCGUCUCUACUAAAAAUACAAAAAUUAGUUAGGCGUGGUGUUGCAUGCCUUUAAUGCCAGCUACUUGGGAGGCUGACAGGAGAAUCGCUUGAACCCAGGAGGCGGAGGCUGCAGUGAGCCAAGAUCGCACUACUGCACUCCAGCCUGGGUGACAGAGUAAGACUCUGUCUCCAAAAAAAAAUAAUAAAGUAAAAUUUGUGGGCCAGGCACAGUGGUGCAUACCUGUAAUCCUAGCACUUUGAGAGACCAAAGUGGGAGGAUCACUUGAGUCCAGGGGUUUGAGACCAGCUUGGGCAACAUAGUAAAACCUCAUCUCUAUGAAAAAUUUUAAAAAAUUAGCUGGGCAUAGUGGCACACACCUGUAGUCGCAGCCACUCAGGAGGCUAAGGUGGGAGGAUGACUUGAUCCCAGGAGGUUGAGGCUGUAGUGAUCUAUGAUCAUGUUACUGCAUUCCAGCCUGGGUGACAGAGCGAGACCCCACCUCUACAAAGAUUAAAAAGUUAGCCAGACAUCAUGGUGAAACCCCGUCUCUACUAAAAAUACAAAAAAUUAGCCGGGUGUGGUGGUGGGCAUCUGUAGUCCCAGCUACUCGGGAGGCUGAGGCAGGAGAAUGGCGUGAACCCGGGAGGCAGAGCUUCCGGUGAGUGGAGAUCAUGCCAUUGCACUCCAGCCUGGGUGACAAAGCAAGACUCCGUCUCAAAAAAAAAGCUAGCCAGACACGUAGACCUAACUACUUGGAAGGCUUAGGUGGGAACAUUGCUUCAGCCCAGGAGUUCAAGGCUGCAGUGAGCCAAGAUUGCACCACUGCAUUCUGGCCUGGGUGAUUGAGUGAGACUCGGUCUUGAAAAAAAAAUGUUAACAGUUCUCUGGUAUUCCAUAAUAAACUAUCUGAAAACUGAGUGGCUUAAAACAUUAAUUUUGUUUUGUUCCUAAUUUUGUGGAUCAGGACCUUAGGAAGGGCUCUGCUGGGAGGUUUGUCUCGGCUCCAUGUGUUGUCCACUGGGGCUGGAGGAUCCACUUCUAAGACUUUAUCGUCCGUCUGUCUGGUGCUUUGUUCCUCCUUGACCCCUCUGUCUGUUUCUCUCCAGGUAGCAUCAAGCAUCUUCCUGUGGCUUGAUUGUCUCACAGCUGGAUGGCCUCAGGGUAGUGUCACUUCUGAUGUGGUGGCUGGCCUCCAGCAGGCAGGAAGGUGGAAGCUGCCAUAAAGUUAAGGGCUACACUUAAAACUGGCACAGCAUCACUCCUGCCAUAUUCUGUUGCUCAAAGCAGUCACAGGGCCUGUCCAGAUUCUAAGGACGGGAAAAAUAAGUCCCACCUCUUGAAGGGAUGGGGGUGGCAAAGUCACCUUGCAGAAGAGCAUAUGGGAUAGGAAAUAUAGCUGUGGUCAUCUUUGGAAAAUGCAGUCUGUCACUCCUUAAUUGGCAGGGAUUUUUCAGGAGCCUUGUAGUGAUUCUCCUAUCUUAGACUGCCUUAGAAUCCCAUAAAAAGAAUAAUGACAGACAAAGCACAGGCAUGUUCUCCUAAGAUCGAAAUAUAUGUCUGAGUCUUGAUUUUCCAUGGCUUCUCCAUGGAGUCCUAAUGAUUGAGCUGUAAGGUUACUCUAAUAAGGUAAACAAGCUGGCGGAGUAGAAAUAAUCCCAACACAAGUCACAGCUGUGGCAGAAGGGAAGCCGAUAUUAAUACAUGCAUACCUGUGGUGGUGCAAGAGUGGUUGACUCGUGUUUGGUGUUUGGUGUGGGCCCAAAGACAAGAGGAUCUAGCUUGGACCAACUCAUCUCCCAUCCAAGCAUUAGAAAUCUGAAGUGUGUUUUAUUGAGUCCAGCAACAAAGAUUCAGUUGCUGAAAUGGAGACAGAUUCAGACAGUAAGGUGAUGUUUUUGGUUGGAAUUUUCUUCAAAGCUAAGCCCUGGGGUCAUUAUUGGGCAUUAGUCUCCCUUUAAAAAUAUGGUGUAAUAAAUGACAUGCACACACAUUCAAUAGAAAGAACAUUUGCACCCUUCGCAAAAAAAAAUCUGAAUAAUUAGCCUAGUACAUUUUUUUGGAUAGUGCUAAACUUCACAAAGAAUAAUAGGAAGAGAGGUUGCAUAUUAAUUAUAUUUGGAGAGGAGUUGCCUUGUUCUCUUGAAGUGUUCCAGAUAGAAGAAGCCUUGGAUAGCAACCGAGUCCUGGCUACUUAGCUAUGACUAUGAGCAGGUACCUACCCUGCGUCUCCCUUUAUUCACCUAUAAAAUGAAAAAAAUUACCUAACCCUGGGACUCUUUUAGGUAUGAAACAAUGCAAUACAGUUUUUAAAAAUUGCUUUGUGAGUUCAGAAGUUCUUUACCCAUUGAGCCAUUAUUGCUAAUAAUAAUUAGCGUAGCACGUUUCUGUUGCCUAAGAAUUAACAUUAGCCAUUACUUCCUGGCUCAUUUAAAAAUAUAAUUUAUAGGGUCUAUCAUUUCUUGAAAAUACGAAAUUAAAAAAUUAUGUGUAUAACUCUAGCAUUACCUAGGGUUUGGGCACAAGCUAUAAUUUGGGCACUUGUGGCUUAUAUACACAUUAAUUAAAUUAUUUUUGCUAGUUUUGGAUAACGUGGGUAGCACUUUCUAAGAUGAAAGGCUUGAUCCUACAAAGACAAAAGAGCAAGCCAUUAGAUGAUAUUUUGCUGCUUUGAAUAAACUUCACCCAGUCAUUGAGCCCUAUUGAAUGGACUAACAGUAAUGAGUGGAUUACUCUCCUUCCAAUAGAUUUUGGAUUCAUUAUUUAUCAACAAAUAGUUCUUUGAGGGCCAGUGAGGGGAAAUUAUCCUUGCUAUGAGUGACCCAGUGGUUUCCUAACUCCUGUCUCAUGGAAUGUUCCUGCCUUCAUGAACUAGCCAAGGUCAUUCCAUACUCAAAUCAAAGGAAGCAGGCUCCCUCUCUUUCAAUUUACAGAAGGAAAAAGAGGUCCGUGGAUUAACUUUUCCCUAUACUGCGUGCUUACUGCUAAAUUGAAAGACCACUGUAUUAUGCUGUGUACUAGGGUUGGGCGAAUCUGGCCCACUGCCUGUUUUUGUAAAUAAAGCUUUAUUGGAACACAGCUAUACCCAUUCAUUUAGAUAUCGCCUACAGCAGCGCUCAUGCUAUAACUGCAGAGAGGGCAUAGAGACCCCUGUGCUGUCAAUGAGUGUAAUGACAUAAGAACAGCCUUUUUAUUUAUUUAUUUAUUUUUUGAGACAGGAUCUUGCUCUGUCACCCAGGCUGGAGUGCAGUGGUACCAUCAUGGCUCUCUGCAGCCUCAAUGUCCAGGUCUCAAGCGAGCCUCCCACCUCAGACUCCCAACUAGCUGGGACUACAGGCAUUCACCACCAUGGAUGGCUUAUUUUUGUAUUUUUUGUAGAGACAGGGUUUUGCCAUAUUGCCCAGGCUGGUCUCAAACUCCUAGGCUCAAGCAGUCUACCCACCUUAGCCUCCAAAAGUGCUAGGAUUAUAGGUGUAAGCUACCACACCCAGCCUCAAGCUACUUUUUUUUUUAACUCUGAACUUUUUUCCAGGCAUGACAAGCAACCAAAGCUGCCAUUUUGUUGUGACAUGGCUCUGUCUGAAUAUUGUAUUCUUCCUCCCAAACCUGCAUCAAAUAUGAUAGGCUGGAAAUAAAAUGGUUUUAUUGUUUUUAAGGGAGCAUUAGGCUAUGGUUAAAAAGAAAAGAGAGGAGGAACUUGGAGUUAUAUAAACGGGUAUAAAUCCAGCCUCCACCUUAAUCUUUUCACACACUACAUUCUUUGUCUAAUCCAUAAAUAAUAUAUUUAUUAAGCAUCUAGUCCUAGCUGCUGCCUAAGGUGUGUACAAGCUGAACAACUGUUCAUUAUGCUGGAUCUUACAGGGUUCUGAUCAUCUACUGCUGUGUAACAAAUAGUUCUCUAACGUAAUGACUAAAACAGUGCUUUAGUAUCAUCUCUCAAGGUUUUGUGGGCUGACUAGACGUGGCUGGAUGGUUCUUUCUUGGAUUUCUGCAUAUGUUACUGACACAUAUGGAGUGGGCUGUGAUCAUCUGAAGGUUUGGCUGUGGUGGUUGCUCAAGGUGUCUCAUGCACGUGCCUGGCAGUUGGUGAGGGUUGUUGGGGGGAGCUCAGCUGGAGCUGUUGGCUGCAUCAGACAUGGUCUAUCCUGUGUGUCUUGGGCUUCUUGCCACAUGGUGGCUGGGUUCCAAGAGGGAGUUUCCCCAGAGUAAAUAUUCUAAGAGGUCCAGCAGGAGCUGCAAAGGUAUGUAUGUUAUCAUUGAGGCUUAGAAUUCCCAGAACAUCACUUUCACUGCAUUCAAUUGGUCAGCUGAGUCAGUAAGGCCAUCUUGGCUUCAAGAGGAGGGGAAUAAGACACUACCUUUCGAUAAAGGCAUGUCAAAGAAUUUGAAGCCAUCUUGAAUCUGACGCAUAUGCCUACGGUGGUGAACUAGCACACGCCGGCUUCUUUGUUAAAUUGUAACUUUGAAGAGUCCUGAUGCAGAAGCAGCAGUCUUGAUGCUAAGAGAGCUUUUGUUAGAGUAGUUUGGCCUGGAAAAAGCCCAGAGGAGGCUCUGGGAGAUGAGCAAGCAGGAAUGGGAAGGUUAAGUCGCGUUAACCAGGUGAAGAAGGGAGGUCAGAGUAAUCCAGGCACAGGAAACAACCUGUGCCAAGGUCCUGGGGCAGGACUGCAAAAGGAUCCAGACUAGACUAGAGCUGAGAGAAUGAGGGAAUUGUGAUGGAAACUAAGGGUUAGUAGCCAAAUAAUGAAGACCAGAUUUCCCAAGCUUCUAAACUUCAUUUUUCUCCCAUGUAAAAUAGGAUAAUAUUUACUAUACGAGGCUGUUGUGAGGAUAAAUUAAGAGAGUCAGUAGAGCCUUGCACAGUGAUGUUUUCUUUUCUCCUGGAAAUGACUGUGAGUCAAUGGAAAAAGCAUACCACCUGACUUCUUUUUGGUGUCCCUAUCUUACUCAUGACCUCCUUCCUCCAGGGUCAAAACUGAGCUUACAAAGUUACGCCUUCAAACUUGCAAGCUAUCCAUAAAGUCUUACCAAACUGUUAAGUGUAGUCCUGGGAAUUGUGAAGGGUCCAAAAUGGAUCUAAACCAUUGCCUGGUUAUUAUUUGAUUAUUAAAGCAACACCAGCCACCUCGUUAGCACUUGUGGGUACUCUAGCAGCACCAAGGUUAAACGUCUCUGCUGGCUGUCCGUGCUCAUUUGCAUGGCUUCCUCCUCUCCCCCACAUCUCCGAUAGUUAAUGCACAUGCUCACUCUCACUUCCUUGUUCAAAGAGAUGUUUCACCACGGUGCAGAUGCUUGCCCCUGGCAACCCCUGGUGGAGGCAGCCGCUGAGAAUUCCGUAAAUCUGUCCUGCUCUCCCGCAGAACUGAGAAUCUAAAUUCUAGCAUUCCAGGAGCUGGGGAGGGUAAAGGCUGUUGACAUUGACAUGCCAGCAGGAGCCGCAGCUCCUCCAGGGUCAUUUUGAAAGCCAGAGUCUGCCGAUGUGCGUGGCAGCCUCCUAGCUGCACAGGCUGAUUGUGAUAGGGAUGUGCCCACUGGACCCCACAGUCCCCUCCUUUCUCAGUCCCUCCCAGGUACCCUCUGUGCUUUCGCAUCUCAGGCCCCGUGUGAGGAACCAGGACACAUGGCCUUUCAUGGGGAGCUCGCAGUCUGCUGAGCUAGGGAGUUUAUACUUUUCCCCAAAUAAUUCCCCCAAAUGAGUGGGGCCCAUCCUCUCCACUAAUGAGGUCGUGGCAAGGCCAGUUUCUGUUCCAUAAGCACAGGCUUCUUUUUGUCCCUGAAAUAGCAUCGCCGUGGAGUCUCACAGUUUAUCCCGGAAGGGAUGUGGGGUGCAUUAUCUGGCAAUGUCUGGAGACAUUUUUGGUUGGCAGGACAGGGCGGGAGCUGUAUAGGCAUUUAGUGGGUACAGACCAGGGGUGCCACUAAACAUCUUAUUCUACAGAGUGCAGGACAGCGCCACAGCAAACAGUGAUCCAACCCAAAUUGUCGGGAGGGCCGAGCUUGGUAGGACCUCUGCUCUCCUCUCAUUGCCUGCUUUUCUCUUGUCACUGUGUCACUGCCAUACUGACUUUCUGGUAGUUCCUCAAACAUAUCCAGUCCUGUCCCAUUUGGGGACCUUCAUGCUUGCUGUUCCUUCCAGAAUGUUCUUCCCCAUAGAAGCUGUCUGUGAUUCUUGAUCCAUGAUCAGGGAUCCAUUUGAUUCCAUGAUUACACCCUUUAUUCAACACUUCCCGUGUGUCUGACACACUGCAUGCACAGCAAAUGGAAUCUCGUAUUCCUGCUCACCACAGCAGCUUCUCCUUUUCCUCCAUAGCUCUCAUCCCCAUCUGAACUCUCCAUUUAUUUCUGUGGGUUUUUUUUUCCUUUUUUUGAGACAGAGUCUCACUCUGUAGCCCAAGCUGGAGUGCAAUGGUGCUAUCUCAGCUCACUGCAACCUCUGCCUCCCGGACUCAAGCGGUUCUCCUGCCACAGCCUCCUGAGUAGCUGGGACUACAGUCACGUGCCACCACACCCAGCUAAUUUUUUGUAUUUUUUAGUGGAGAUGGGGUUUCACCAUGUUGCCCAGGGUGGUCUUGAACUCCUGAGCUUAGGCAAUCCGCCCGCCUCGGCCUCCCAAAGUGGUGGGAUUACAGGCGUGAGCCACCGCGCCCGGCCUCCAUUUAUUUCUGAGAUUACCCCUCAAUGACCUCUUUCCUGCUGCCUGUAGGAUUCAUAAAGACUCGGAUUCCAGCAGUGUUGCUCACUGCUGUGUUCUCAACUCCUGCACCAGCUCUUCGCAUACAGUAGGCACUCAAUAUAUAUGUGUUGCAGUGGAGGGGAGGGGAUCAGAAAUGGGGGAGAUUGAAAGUAGGGAGAGGAGAGGAGAGUUUUUGGAGUCAGAAAUCCUGGCUGCACGCACCAAUUCCAGCUUUGUGUUUUGGGGGAAACCUGCUUAACCUCUCUGAACCUCAGUUUUCCCUUCUGCAAAAUGGGAAUGAACAUCAUUCCGCCCCUGUGAGGGUGGUUUUUGGUGUUUAUACCCCAGGCUGUGGGUGCUGUGUGUCAGACACGCGGGAAGUGCUGAAUAAAGGGUGUGAUCGUUUUUCUCUGCGGGGGGUCUGCAGUUCUGAUUCCCUUGGAGAAGGCAGAGUGAGGAAUCAUCGCAGUUACCGUCCACACAGUGCUCACCACAUGCCGGCCCCGUUGGGUAUUCAUGCGCUUUAAUCUCACAGCAUCUUGUGUUGUCCUGGUCCCCGUUCCAUAACUGAGCAAACGGCAGUUGAGGGUGGUGAGGGGCUGCGCUGGUACACACAGUGAGGAGGUGGUGGCAGGGGUGACCUUCAAGCAAACCCAGGCUGCCUGGCUCCAUAGCCUUAACCAGGACACUCGCCACUCCUCUAAGAUUUGUUUUUCAUCUCCCUUUGCAGAAAUGCCCUUUUGCUCAUUUCUCAUUAUGUGUGUCAGGGCUUCCUGUGGGUGCCCAGUGGAGUGUGGGAGGAAGCGGAGAAAGCAAGGCGCUUACAAGGAGACUCAUCCACGGGUCCGUCUCGUUUUGUGCCUGGGUCUUAAUUUAUAAAGAUGUCUGAUAGCCAGGCAUAGUGGUGUGCACCUGUGGUCCCAGCCACUCCAGAGGCUAAAGCUGGAGGAUUGCUUGAGCCCAGGAGGUCGAGACUGUAGUGAGCUAUGAUUGUGCCACUGUACUCUGGCCUGGGUGAUAGAGCAAGACCCUGUCUCUAAAAAAUAAAUACAAAUAAAUGAAGCCCACCAAAUAAAUGAAUAAGUAAAUAAAGGUGUCUGGGUGACAACACAGCGAGGUCAAAUAAAUAGAAAUAAAGCCCACCAAAUAAAUAAAUAGAGAUGUCUGGGUGACAUCACAGUGAGGUCAAUGCCCUUGAAAGUUUAGUGUGACUCAGUUUCCCUAGAAAGAAGAGGCACAGCAUGCUUGCAGGGCCACAGCAGGAGGCCCUGGUUUUUUGGUUUGGAGGCAGAAGACAGGAGUAAGGAGAAAAUCUAGGCCAGAACCUUUACUGGGGUUCCCACAGGAAAGGUGAGGCAAGGCAGGGCAAACAGUUUGGGAUUGACCGGCUUGAAUAAUUUCAGGAGGGCUUUGGGCUCUAGAGGGGUCUCUAGCUGCCUGCUACCUGGCCCCAGGUUGGUUUAGGGCGGGGGAAAAUUGGCUUGGUGUGUGAGAGUUAGAUAUGGUGAUGGCUGAGGGGGUAUAGACUCUGGGUUUGUUGGUUUGCAUGUGAGAGGCUUGCUCCUGGUUGAGCCCUUUGCUAUCUCUAAGAACGGGCUAGAACUGGGAGGGGAUGUCUUUACCCAGGUCUAUAAAACCCCUAAUGCUAGAGCAUCUACAAUACAGAAAAUCUGUCAUCUCAGCACUUUGGGAGGCUAAGGCAGGUGGAUGGCUUAAGCCCAGGAGUUCAAGACCGGCCUGAGCAACAUGGCGAAACCCCAUCUCUACAAAAAAUACAAAAAUUAGCCAGGCAUGGUGGUGAGCACCUGUAGUCCCAGGUACUCCGAACACUGAGGUUGAUUGAACCCAAGAGGUUGAGGCUGCAGUGAGCUGAGAUUGCACCACGCACCACUGCAUUCUAGCCUGGGUGACAGAGUGAGACCCUGUCUCAAAAAAAAAAAAAAAUGAUGACAAAAAAUAAGAAAGUGUAGUUGAACUAAUUAGCCAUGUGAUGAAUGGAUGGCAAAUAGACAAAUGCAUUAUCUAUGAAAACACACAGAACACCCCCUUCCUUGCUCAUGUGUGGGUACCCAGCAUGACUGCUUAGAGUCCUUGAAGGGUGUGAAGCCAGCCCAGUGUCCCCUCAGUGCACAGUGUGUGGCAUUGAUGCAUGCCUGUAUACCAUCAUCAGAUAUGUUACUUCUUUUUUGAGUACCAGGUCCCGGGGGCACAAAUAGGAUGACUGUGGCCAUACCUCUCUUUGGGCUGUAUUCACUGACUGCCUACUGCGUGUCAGGCACCAGCCUGGGCACUGAGCAUACAAUGGUGAGAAAUUAGACAUAGUUUUUGACCUCAUCCAGCUUGUGGUCUGGACUAGUCUUGAGGAAAAGGUGGGGAGUGUGGCUAUAUGUAUUAUCUCUCCAGACACACUUGGCCUAUAUUGGUCGCAGAAGUCAGAGGCUCAGCAGAUACGAGCAUUGUGAACAUGGGCUGGACUGCAAAUCAGGUUCAGGAUUUGACCAGUUACACAUUCUUCUGACUCUCCCCAGGAGUGCUGCCAUUAGGAAAACAUCUCGGAAAGGAAUUAAGCACUCUAACUGUAGAUACACCCUUAUUGAAGUAUUCCUUGUUUGGGAAAGUAAAUCUCUGUUAGGUCUCCUUGGGACUCAGUCAGUUGGGCUGCCUUCCAAGAUGGUGGAUGGUGAUCCACUGGGAGACCUAGUAUAAGAAACUGUCCUGUUUCCACUGGGAAAUCAGGAAAAGAACUUUGAUGUCUUAGAAUCUUUAGAGCCUCUUUACCUCUUUUCUUCCCCACCCCCACACCCCCAAAUGCUUCAAAGUAAGACUAUUUCCCCUCCCCCCACCCAAUCCUUGGUGUUUGGUUUGAAUUUGGUUACCACGGUAUUUAAUCUGUUUACACGAGUUUUAUUUUGGCCUCUAACUACAGAAUGAAGAAUGUGGUAGAGUCUAGGCUGAGUUAAGCCCAGAAUUCUGGAAUCCUUGGUAUGUGUGUGGGGUUUGUGUGUGUUUGUGUACGUGUGUGUGCGCCAGGACCCCCUCACGUGGACCUGGUGCUGUGUGCCAGGUUCUGCCCUGUAUACCUCUGCACCCCCAGGAGUGCUAUUCACCUAGUUUCUCGUGUGAAUCAUGCACAUGGACCUGGGCUGCACGGUGGCUGUGAGAACAAACUGCACCUCACCAGGAUCUUCAACCCCAGGAGCUGUGCGGAGCGUUUUUGGGGGCCAUUUUGGGGCUCAGAGAAGGAGUUGUAGGUAUACUUCUUACACAUGCCCUUCAAAUCAAGUUGAUAUGAGGUUCUGGACACUCGCUAAUUAAAACAUGAAUAUUGCAAUGUGGAAGAUCUUGUUCCCCCUUUUAUGCCCCCUCUUGCCCCACCAAGAAGUUUAAAUGGGCUUUCUGAAAAUGUGCCCAGAGAAAGACAACAUCCUUUUCACCUUAGGCCUCCGGGCCACCUAGUGAUGGGCAGCCGGAUUGUGAGUCAGCAGUAGAAUUUGAGAGUUAGCAGCUGAAUUAACUGUGUCCAUCAGUCAGUAAGGUAACUCUGUUGCUCAUCAGAGGCCUUCAGGGCACCGGAGUUUCUUCUUGGACAGUUUCCGGAGCCCCUGACUGUGGUUUAAAACCAGGUAGGCAUCUGGUCAUUCUCCCACGAUGAAGGUGAAGCCGAAUGUACCACAACUGCUCUUGUUGAACUACAACUAUUAAGAGAUCAGAGGUCCCAGAAAAGUCACCCUCUUGAUCAGUGACCCCCAAACUCAGAGGCAACCAAGGGGUGUUUUCAGCUGCUGUUUGGAAGUGAUUGUUCUCAAUUCAUUGUUAUGAGGCCCCAUUGUCACAGCCAAAAGACUUCUUCAAAAAAUAAUAAACUGCCUAUUCGUUGGGAGAAAUGACAGAGAAUACCGUCUAAGCAAUUUUUUUUAGUGACUGGGCAUUUUUUUAGCAGCCCAAGGUGAUAGUAGCAGCAUUCCUUGUAGAAUGACACAAUACAAUGAAAUUUAGAUAUAAUUAAUUAAUUAGGGAGCAAAUUGUAUUAAGUAGGUAGCUCUUUGCUUUAAUGGCAGCUUAUGAAGAAACUACCACCAUGAAGGGGGUUAUAAUGUUAUUUUAGCUUUUAUUAUCAACAUCAACAAUAGCAACUGAUACUUUUGUACAAACUCAUAUUACAAGUACUAUGUUCAGUCCUUGGUUUAAAUUGACUUCUGUAAGUUUCACAACUGGCCCAUGAGGUGGGUGCUGUUAUGAAUAAUAUUCUCAGAUGGGAGUUGAAUAAUUUGCCCAAGGUCUUCCAGCAAGUAAGGGCUGGGGAGCAGGGUUCAGACCCAGGCAGGCAGGUUCGAGGGCCCCGGUUCUUUACUGCUGGAUGUGUUAACACACCUGUUUAUUAGACCAUUGACAGCAAUCUGUAAAAUAUGCAAGAAGCCUGGUGCUAAUGAAAGUAAUGGCAGGCUGCUGGGCAUGGUGGCUCACGCCUGUAAUCCCAGCACUUUGGGAGGCUGAGGUGGACAGAUGGCUUGAGGUCAAGAGUUUGAGACCAGCCUGGCCAACGUGGUGAAACCCUGUCUCUACUAAAAAUACAAAAUUAGCCGGGCAUGCUGAUAUACGCCUGCCAUCCAAACUAUUCAGGAGGCUGAGGCAGGAUAAUCGCUUGAACCUAGGAGGCAGAGGUUGCAGUGAGCCAAGAUCACACCACUCCAGCUUGGGCCGCAGAGUGAGAUUCCAUCUCAAAAAAAAAAAAAAAAAAAAGUAAUGACAGGUGAUAUGGUUUGGCUGUGUCCCCACCCAGAUCUCAUCUUGAAUUGUAACUCCCACAAUUCCCAUAUGUCGUGGGAGGAACCCAGUGGGAGGUGAUUUAAUCAUGGGGGUGAGUCUUUCCUGCGCUGUUCUCGUGAUAGUGAAUGAGUCUCAUGAGAUCUGAUGGUUUUGAAAAGGGAAAUUUCCCGCACAAGCUCUCUCUUCCCUUGUCUGCUGCCAUGUGAGAUGUGCUUUUCAUCUUCUGCCAUGGUUGUGAGGCCUCUCCAGCCACAUGGAACUGUGAGACCAAUAAACCUCUUUUUGUAAAUUGCCCAGUCUCGGAUGUGUCUUUAUCAGCAACGUGAAAACAAACUAUUACAACAGGCAGUGGAGAAUCAAAGCUUAAUGUACCCGCUUUUCUCUCUAUGCACUUAUGGCUCUAAUACACCUUUUGUAUCAAUACUUUUGGAUUUCCUGAAAGAGCAAGUUAUGUGGGGAAACUAGCCUGGUACAGAAUCCAUUCUGGCAAAAGGGGCAGCCAGCAGCGGUCAAGGAUUUGGGUCUGUGCCUGGUGGUGGCAGUGUGAACUCAUUAGCAGCAGGGACAGGGUCUGUGCUGGUCAGUGUCCGUGUGGUUGGGACAUGAUCACCCACAGCAGAGCCUCCACAUUUGGCUUUGGUUGUCCAAGCAUCCUAUACAUCAUCUUGCAUUAUUCAGGACAUUCUUUUUAUGCCUGAACUGGGCAGCAUGGAGUCUUUUGUUUGCAACCAUAAAACUCGGUCAUACACACACCCUAAAAAUGUGUCUCAGCUGGGUGUGGUGGCUGACACCUGUAAUCCCAGCACUUUGGGAGGGCAAGGCAGGUGGAUCACUUGAGGUCAGGAGUUCGAGACCAGCAUGGCCAACAUGGUGAAACCCCAUCUCUACUAAACAUACAAAAAUUAGUCGGACGUGGUGGCGGGCACCUGUACUCCCAGCUACUCGGGAGGUUGAAGCAGGAGAACCACAUGAACCCGAUAGGCAGAGGUUGCAGUGAGCCGAGAUCACGUCACUGCACUCCAGCCUUGGCAACAGAGUGAGACUCCAUCUAAAAAAAAAAAAAAAAAAAAAAGUGUCUCAAUACUUCAAAACCAACUUGGGUAAUGUUAAUGGACUUUCUUUCUCAAAUGUGUGGCCACCCCCAUCUUUUCUCCUGGCAAAAGGAACUAGGAAGAUCGCUGUGGUUCAAGAUCAAUAUUAUGCACAUCAUUGCUGAAAUAUGCACAUCAUUGCUGAUUGGCUUAUGCAUGAGGAGCCUGGAGGAACUGUCGAGAAAUAGCAGGUCCAAGCUGCUAGGACUUUUGUGUUCUUGGGUCUAAUGUGUUUAUUUCAGUUCCUCCUUGCCUUCAAACUGCCGGCCUCUCUCAAAUCCCUUCUUAUUUUCUGCUUUCCAGUAAACUUCAAAAUAGAACUGAAUUGCAAGUUGGAGCUUGACCUGUUACUCUUUCUAGCGUCGAAGGAGGAGGUUCUGGUACACUUUGGCAGCUUCCUGCUCCUUCUGUUCACUUUUAGAAGGUGGUGGCUCUGAAAAAGGUCUUUGUAAUUUGCAUCUUUUUUCCCCUGACUAAGGCCUUCUUCGGUUUUGACACGUGUCAUUAUGGGCACAUUGUUUGGACCAGUUUCUAGAGCCUCAUUUGGGUUCUCAACGCUGUCUAAAUCUGGCCUUUGCGCUCAGAACAGACCUGGGAAUGUCACACAAAGUCCUUCUGAUGCCACCCCCACCAAUAUCUAACACUCGUUACUCUUUUUUUUUGUUUUGUUUUGUUUUUUGAGAUGGAGUUUCACUCUUGUUGCCCGGGCUGGAGUGUAAUGGUGCGAUCUCUUGGGUCACCGCAACCUCAGCCUUCUGGGUUCAAGCGAUUCUCCUGCCUCAGCCUCCUGAGUAGUUGGGAUUAUAGGCCUGUGCCAGCACGCCCAGCUAAUUUUUGUAUUUUUAUUACAGAUGGGGUUUCUCCAUGUUGGUCAGGCUGGUCUCAAACUCCUGACUUCAGGUGAUCCGCCGGCCCUGGCCUCCAAAAGUGCUGGGAUUAUCGGCCUAAGCCACCAUCCCCGGCCUAUUCUUUUAGCACCUAGAAGCACAUCAACCAAGGAUAUUGUGGUGCUAGGCAACGAGGCUUGAAUACACUGGAGGAAUUUUUCCAGUUUGAAGCUGGAACUAGUUAGGAAAUUUAGGAGUGAGCAAUUGUUAAGUAUCCAAGCACAAAACUCAGGAGUGAGUCUGAGCCAUGAGAAAGCUGAUACUGACUUUAGAAGAUCAAUAUUGUGAUAUUCCCAGGGCUUUGCCUCUUAGAUUUCAUGAGAAUUUAUAAUAUGUUCACACUCAAUGAUUGCUUACCAAGCGUAUGUCACUGCACUUACUUAGCAUGCACUUUGAAAAGCAAAACAUCAUUUAUUCCUUAAAAAGAACUCGGUGUUGUACCCAUUUUCCAGGGCAGGUGAUUGAGGCUCUGAGAGGCUAUCAUCGUAUAUUUUGUAUUACUAUAAAGGAAUAUCUGAUGCUGGGUAGUUUAUAAAGAAAGAAAGUUUAUUUGGUUUGUGAUUCUGAUGGCUGGUAAGUUCAAGAUUAGGCAUCUGCAUCUGGCGAGGGCCUCCGACAGCUUCACUCACAGUGGAAGGUGAAGGGGAGUUGGCAUGUGCAGAUAUUACAGGUAAGCAAGAAAGCAAGAGAGAGGGAGGGGAAGGCCAGACUGUUUGUAAACAUCCAGCUCUUGCAGAACUAAUAGAAGGAGGGUAUUGAUCUAUUCAUGAGGGAUCCACCCUCAAAACCCAAACACCUCCCAUUAGACCCCACCUCCAACACUGGGGAUCAAAUUUCAACAUGCGGUUUGGAGGGGACACACAUCUAAGCCAUAGCAGAGGCCAAGUUACUUGCUCAGGGGCACAUAGCCAGAAGGUAGAAGGCCCUGGGUUAGAAUGCAGACCUGCCUGAAUCCCAAGGCCAUACUCUUCCUUGAACACCAUGCAGUGGUUAUUUUAGUAGGGGUCACACAGAUGGGUGGGGAGCAGGCAGAGAAAUAAACAAAGAGACUGAGUGCUGCUGUCUCAUGCCUAUAAUCCCAGCACAUGGGAGGCUGAGCAGGAGGAUCAGUUGAGCCCAGGAACGCAUGUCCAUACUGGGCAACAUAGCAAGACCCCAUCUCUAUAAAAUAUAUAGAGGAUUUAUAAUGUGUCCACAUUUAGUGAUUGCUAACCAAGCGUAUGUCACUGGGCUUAGCAGGCACUUUGAAAAGCAAAAUAUCUCUUAUUCCUUAAAAAUAACGCUGUGUUAUACCCCUUAUAUAUAUACACAUAUAUAUAAAUUUUUAAAAUAAGAAUAAAUAGGCUGGACGCAGUGGCUCCUGCCUGUAAUCCUAGCACUUUGGGAGGCCGAGGCAGGCAGAUCACCUGAGGCCAGGAGUUCAAGACUGCUGGCCAACAUGGCGAAACCCCAUCUCUCCUAAAAAUAUAAAAACUAGCUGGGGUGGUGGCAGGGGUCUAUAAUCCCAGCUACUUGGGAGGCUGAGGCAGGAGAAUCGCUUGAACUCCGGAGGCAGAGGUUGCAGUGAGCCGAGAUUGCGUCACUGCAUUCCAGCCUGGGUGACAGAGCAAGACUCUGUCUCAAAAAAAUUAAAUUAAAAAAUAAAAAUAAAGAAGCAGCAAAAGGUUUCAAAUUAAAAGGGUGACUUUCGAAAGACCAUAUGACCCUGUGGGAAGAGACAUACUAUGUUCUUAUGUUUUAUUUUUCUGUUGCAUACCACACCCAACCCAGGGCCUCAUAUAUUCCAAGCACAUAGAAUAAUUUGUUGAAGGAACAUUGAGUGAACAAGGAAAAGAAAUGGCCAUUUCUUCUUUUGUUUUUUCUUUUGAAUUAACCCUUUAGCUGUUCAGCAUCUUCCUCCUUGUUUAAAUGGGCGUUGUGGUCCCUUUUGACCCCCAGCUUCUGAGGCCUGCUGGGGAAGGUUGGCGUGAACACAGCUUCUCUUCCCCAGGGCCUCCUGGUCUCCACUUGUCUUCCCAUCUGCUUUCCAGAUGAUCAAAUGACUCAUCAGCUCCCUGCAGCCUUCCCAAACCUGCUUUUUGUCUUCUCCGCUCUCUUUCCCAAUUUCUUAGGCAGGACUCCUCUGGCUGUGAGUGACGGAAACCAACUUAGUCUAGUUUAGGCCCCAUGGGGGAGCUUACUGGAUCCCAGAUGGUGAUUCACAGGAACCCUGGGAGAGACCUCACUGGAGCACAGAGAGGGGAAGCAGUGUGCUCUAAGUCACACAGCUGUUCAUUAUGGGGAGGGUUGGGAGAGCUUGAGAAUUUUGAGAACAAGCUACAUGCAGGUGGUGACUAUUUAUUUGACUAAUGUACUCCCAGUGCCUAAAACAAUAACACUCAUCAUAUAGUAGGUGCUCAGUAAUAUUUGUUGAAUGAGCAUGUGAAUGCAUGAAUAGUGGAGUCUCUUAUUUUUAUAAAAUAGAGUCUCACUCUGUUGCCCAGGCUAGGCUGCAGUGGUGCAAUCUCAGCCCAUUGCAGCCUCCACCUCCCAGGUUCAAGCGAUUCUCCUGCCUCAGCCUUCCAAAUAGCUGGGAUUACAGGCAUGCACCACCACGCCUGGCUAAUUUUUGUAUUUUUAGUAGAAGUGGGGUUUCUCCAUGUUGGCCAGGCUGGUCUCAAACUCCCGACCUCAAGUGAUCCACCCACCUCAGCCUCCCAAAGUGCUGGGAUUUCAGGCGUGAGUCACCAGUCUCAGCUGAAUAGUGAAAUCUUAAAGUUUUCAUCCCCCCUCUGUAUGGAUAGGAAGUAACUGAGGGCAGGGAGGGGAAAUGGAGGAAUUCUUUACAUCACUGUGCCCUUCUUUUCACUCUCAUCAUGCAUCAGGGGCCCCAGGGCCUGGCUUCUGCUAGCUUCAACCCUGGGUUCUCGUCCUACCUUGAGGUUGUCUCAGCCUCUGCAGGUGACAGAGAGCCUGCCUGCCCCAGCCUCAGCCUGGACAUCUCCCAGCUCACGAGGGCACCACAGUGAAUGGGCGUCAUUCAGUUCUUGCAUCAGACUGGCUCGGCUGACCACAGCAAGCUACGGCCCCCGAGGAAGAUGCCAGGAGCUGGGUUUGCUGCCAAGGGCUCCCUGCUGCUGUCCCUGUGAUUUCAACUCCCCAGGGCUCCCAGUGGGUGAGAACAAGGGCUGGCUGUGGCAGAGUUCUCGUCUUUGGGUGGGGUGUGUGGCGAAUGGAAAGUCAGCCGCUCCGGCCUCGUGGCUUGGCUGCUGCGAGCACGGAUGCUUUAUAAAGUGACUUUUCAAGGCCUUCUCCCUCCACUGGGCCUUGGCAGCCACGCUGUUUCUCCAGAACUGAGCCGGCCUUGUGUCUGUUGGGAAGAAAGACAUGAAAAUGAGGGCUGGAGCGGACGCAGGGCCCCGAUUCCAGGAGAAACAGGGCAUCAUGUUGUGCUGCUGCCUGGGGCAGAGCUGACAAGCGCCACAUUCAUUCCUCAGCAGGAGUUGGCUCCCUUUGUGGUAUCAAAUGCCCCCUCUGCACAGCCGCGACAUUGAUCAGCAACAUCAGCUGUGUAGAGAGGUGGCGCGGGGUGGCGAGGCCGUUUGAUUAACCAGGGGCCCUCUAAAUGCUGUUUUUCUAAUCUGAGUCAUCCCUCCAGAAAGUUAUGUGCUUGUGUGUGGCAAUAUUACAAGUGUAUGUUGUAUUCUGUGUGGAGGGCACCUCUCAGAGGUGUGCAAAGAGGCAGCCCUUAUUUGGAGAAGAGGGGCAGAUGCGCGUGGUUGCAGCUCUCUGCACACGUUUAUGCCUGUAUUUCUAUCCCUAUGCUAUGUUUGCAUGCCUUUUGUGAAUGUACACAACUCUGAAUGUUUUUCUUUUUAAAUUUUUAUUUUUUAGAGACAGGGUCUCAAUAUAUGCCCAAACUGGUCUUGAACUGCUGACCUCAAGUCGUCCUCCCGCCUCAGCCUCCCGAGUUGUUGGAAUUACAGGCAACUGCCCCUGUGCCUGGCCAACUCUGACUGUUACUUGUGCAUCUGUUGUUGCAUGCAUGAGUGGGUGCGUGUCUUCCUAAGACAGAGAGGCUUCCUGGAUUCGAAACAUGGCUUUGCUUCCUAUGCACCAUGUGAUGAAUUCCCAUCAGCCUUGGUUUUCUCACCUGUAUAAUGGGGAUGAUCAUGGUUCUCACCUCACAGGAGAGUCUUGGAGGUUAAAUGGGGCAACAUCUGGCUCCAGGUCAGUUGUUGACGUGUGUCAGUUACUGUGGCUGUUACGGUUUUGACUUUGCAGGCUUGCUAGUAUGUCUGUGUGACCUGCUCCACGCCCUCAUCCUCAGCUGUAGCAGGAAUUGUGUUGGUGUUUUCUCUUGCUUUCUGAACAAAGGAUCCAGUGCUCUGAGUUCUGAGGAGGAAAAGGGACAGGAUCUGAGACUCUUUUGGUUUCAUCAGGGGCUGCUCAGCUCGCUGUGUCCCACCUGGAUGGGGGAGGAGUAUCCGACCCUUCCUGGGCCCUGAGUCCCUCCUGGGUCACUCAGGCUUGUCACACCUCCUCCCUGAGCCCCCCCCCCAACCACACAUAGACACACACACAUACAGUUAUGCACAUUGAAUCUGUCUGACGUUGCUGCGGUUUCCCAGGAGGGGUUUAAAUAAUUCUCUGUGGCUGUGGUCUGAACUGCACAGAGAGAAUCUCGUUGUCUCUAACCUGCUAGUGGAUGGCUCCCACCUGGCCUGACCUCUGGCUCCAAAGGGCAAGUCCAGCGUUUCAAGCUGCUCUUCUAGCCCUUAUGAACCUGAGGUCUUGGAGGACGGCUCUCAAUGGAGAAUUGUGUCUGGAGAAGAGACAAGGGUGAGGUAUUCCCAGAUGGGCUUUGAGGAAAGGGCCUUUUGCCUCUCCUGCUGUGAACAGCUUUCAUGGCUCUUCUUCUGCAGUAGAGUAGUGAUACAGUUUGGCUAUGUUCACACCCAAGUCUCUUCUUGAAUUGUAGCUGCCAUGAUUCCCCCACGUGUUGUGGGAGGGACCCGGUGGGAGGUUAUUGAAUCAUGGGGGCAGGUCUUUCUGGUGCUGUUUUUGUGAUAGUGAGUGACUCUCAUGAGAUCUGAUAGUUUUAUAAAGGGGAGUUUCCCUACACAAGCUCUCUCAUUCUCUCUUGUUUGUUGCCAUGUAAGACGUGACUUUCACCUUCUGCCGUGAUUGUGAGGCCUCGCCAGCCACCUGGAACUGUGAGUCCAUUAAACCUUUUUUUCUUGAUAAAUUACCCAGUCUCUGGUAUGUCUUUAUCAGCAGCGUGAAAACAGACUAAUCCAGGUGUUAAAAUCGCCGGCCCUGGCAGAAGAUUUGUAGGUUCAAAGCCAGGUUUUGCCGCUUACUGGUUGUAUGACUUGGGCAAGACGCCUGCCCUUUGUGAGUGUGUCUCCUCAUCUGUCAAAUGGCUAUAGCUGCAUCCAAGGCUGGAUAUGAGGAUUAAAGGGAGGUAUUCCCAUAAAAUCCAUAGAGUGAUCCCUGGCCUGCAGGAAGCAUUGGUAAGUGUUAGCUGUGGCUGGCUUAUUACCAUCAGUUACUUGUUUGUCUCUGUGUAUCGUCUUCAUAUUUGAGGUCCUCACUCUGGAAGCUGGGAUGAUGGUCAUUCCGCACAGGCCUUUGAUGUCAUAAGCACCUGGUGAAUAUUUUGUGAUUCAUUUAUCUAUUAAUUCAUCAGAAAAUAGGGUAUAUCCAUCCUGGGCAACAGAGUGAGACCCUGUCUCUACAAAAAAUUUUUAAAAUAGCCAAGUGUGGUGGAAGUUGCCUGUAGUUCCAGCUUUCCAGGAAGCUGAAGCAGGAUUGCUUGAGCCCAGGAGGUUGAGGUUUCAGUGAGCUGUGAUCAUGCCACUGCACUCCAGCCUGGGUGAUAGAGUAAGACCCUAUCUCUUAAAAAAAAAAAAAAAGAAAAGAAAAAAAAGGAUAUAGUAAAACAAACACCCAUGUAUGUAGAAUAAGACAAGCUCAAUAUCAAGAGAGCUUAAUGAUGGGCAUUUUCACCUUCCAUUUAGGUGUUUGCCAUGGAGACAAGAGAGAGAGCUUCUUUUUGUCCAUGUCUUAAAGGAGGAACUGUAUGCUCCAACAGCCCCCAAAUAAACCCCUCAUAGGUUUGAAUCCUAUUUUUUCCACAAGCAGUUUAUUUUGUAUUUUCUCAUGUUGUAAACUAUCUUUUAAAAAACAUUAUCCAUAACCCACCAUUCCAACCCAACUGCAAUUUUCACAUCUUCAGUUUCUUUCUGUAUUUAUACCCAUUGUUUUAAACUGUGUACACUUCGUCUUUUUCAUAUUCACUUAAUAGUGCUUUGUAAACCCUUUUUUUUUUGUUUUUGUUUUUGAGACAAGGUCUCCGUUGCCCAGGCUGGAGUACAGUGGGGCAAUGACGGCUCACUGCAGCCUUGACCUCACCGGCUCAAGGGACCCUUGUGCCUCAGUCUCCUGGUUGGCUGGGACUACAGGUGUGCACCACCAUGCCUGGCUAACUUUUUGUGUGUGUGUGUGUGUGUUUUUUUUUUUUGUAGAAACAGGGCUUUGCUAUGUUGUCCAGGCUGGUCUCCAACUCCUGGGCUCAAGCUAUUCACCUGCCUCAGCCUCCCGAAGUGUUGGGAUUACAGGCGUGAGCCACCACGCUCAGCCUAGAAACACUUUUAAAGCUUUUCUGUCAUCUCUCUGCUGAUCCUGCUAAUUAGCGCAUAAUUCACCACUGCGUUGAUGCACCUUAUUUAAUGUCACCAUUGCUCAAUUGUUGAACAUUUAGAUUUUUGUUGAUAUUCUAAAUAAAUAAUGUUGUAAAUAUCUUUGGGCCUAUGGCUUUUAUUUUAUUUUCUAAUUAUUUCUGUAAUAAUUUUUUAAGCAGGAGCUGACUGGCCAAGAAACAUUCCAUAAAUGUUUAGUGCUCCUAAAUGUUGUGGAAGUUGAUAUAAUAAUAAUAAUAAUAAUAAUAAUAACCAUAGCCACUAACCCUUCAUUGAACAACUAGGCCAGGCAUUAUCUGAGUGCUUAGCAUACAUUUUAAAAUUUACCCCUCCCAGCUCCUUGAGGUGGGGAUGAUGUUAUUCCCAUUUUACAGAUAUAGGAACAGAGACAAAGAGAGGUUAAAUUACCUGCCCGGGAACAUAGAAAAGGAUGUUGAAGAAGCCAUCCCUUUCCUCAAAAAACUCAGUUGCAGAACACUACACAUAGUUACAUCGGUAAGCUCAAAGUUGCCCUGGCCAGUUCUUGUGCCAUUUCCACAACUUCAGCUUGCAAAUGCUAAAUAUGUGCCCAUAAGUAUAUCUCUCUGUAUAAAUUUAGGCAGAGAUUGAACUUGCAGGAAGUCCGUCUGGCUUUUCUGGAAGACUCUCCCACCCCGGGUGGCUCCAUUCCCAGCAACCUCAAGGCAGAAUGGUGGAAGUUUUGGAAAUUGAUCUGAAGUCCGUUUCCCUUGCUUCCUCGUCCCUUUUCCUUUGUAACAUCCUCCAGCCCAAGGGCCCAGUGUCCCUAUGUGCUAUCAUCUCCCUUGCAAGCUUUCCAGCCAUGAUCUCUGAAAAAACUCAUCCACACUGAGCUGGGGCUGAUUGGAAUUCAUUCCAGGGAGAGUUGCAUUUUGUCAAACACUAAUGUUAAAGAAUUGACUCUGAAGAAUAGAUUGUAGACAGGUGUGUGUGUGUGUGUGUGUGUGUGUGUGUAUGAAAGAGAGAGUGAGACAGAGAGACAGAGGAGAGAGAGCUGGAUUAUGUCAUCCCCCUGGCUGUUACUUCUGUUUUUCUUCCCCUUUUUUCCUCUUCCCAGUAUAGGGUUACUACUUUCCCAAUAUAGGGUUGAUUCCCGUUUGUCCUUCAAACUUCAGAUCAGGUGUCCCCUCCUCCGGCUGGCCUUCCUCGCUCUAACUCCACACCUUGUUUCUUUCACUCGUGGCUUUCAUUACAAGCUGACUUUGAAGGUUGAUGGGUUGAUUCAUUGCCUGUGUCUCCUCCUAAACUGCAAGUUAGUUAGUUCCUUCCUUCCUUCCUUCCUUCCUUCCUUCCUUCCUUCCUUCCUUCCUCCCUUCCUCCCUCCCUCCCUCCCUCUCUUUCUUUUUUUUUGAGAUGGAGUCUCUUUCUGUCACCCAGGCUGGAGUGUGAUGGCAUGAUCUCAGCUCACUGUAACCUCCGCCUCCCAGGUUCAAGUGAUUCUCAUGCCUCAGCCUCCUAAGUAGCUGGGAUUACAGGCGCGUGCCACCACUCCCAGCUAAUUUUUGUAUUUUUAGUAGAGACAGGGUUUUACCAUGUUGGCUAGCUGGUCUCAAACUCCUGACCUCAAAUAAUCUGCCCACCUUGGCCUCCCAAAGUGCUGGGAUUACAGGUGUGAGCCAUGGCGCCCAGCCCCUAAACUGCAAGUUCUUUGGGGACAGUAGGUACUAUAAUUUGUGUUAGUCACUGAGGUACCUAGAAUCUAGCAUAGUGCCAGGCACAGGGUCAGCUGCACCCACUGUUUGUUGAUUGAAUGCUUGAUGUGUCUCCCAGCAUUCCUUUCACUGUCAGCCCCUGUCCUUCCUGUCUACCUGGCCGAAGACUGAGAAAGCUGCUGUUGCCAGGAGAGAGUUUGAAGCUGUGAUUUCCUUGUUGCCAAAUAAAUGAGAAGCCUGGUGAGGGCCAGUUAGCCUGAUGGCUGCUGUUGGAGAAGAAGUCCGCUGGCUGGAUCCUUAGCGAUUGUGUUGAAAACACAGCCACUCUAUUUUGUUUUCCUUUCCCAAAGAAAUAUUUGCUUUAUCUCUGGCAGUGUGUACUUUAUUAUAACAGAGCUGGAGGAUGUUGACCUGAGAAGUAAAAAAACAUGGUUUCCAAA